Long non-coding RNA from Ornithodoros turicata, 286 nucleotides. RefSeq lists it as uncharacterized. The transcript is spliced from 3 exons. The record is from RefSeq and is a predicted model, not a curated record. Lineage: Eukaryota; Metazoa; Arthropoda; Arachnida; Ixodida; Argasidae.
UCGCGGAUAGGGAGCGCGAGCGUGAAGAAACCGGCCGCCAUCUUACUGUACCCACAACAGUCGCCGCAGCGAUCAUGGCAACUUCUUGCAAUUACGGUCGUACCAACCGUACUGGCAAGGUUACAGGGCCUAAAUUUAUACAGGUUUCGUCAUGAGGGCUACCCAGUGAAUAAUCUGUGCAGAGUGAUACGGCUGGGUGUACAGGUUACUUCACAGCUGCCUCGACAUACUCAAGAAAUGGGUGCAGAACCUGCGUAAUGCCCACAAACUUUGACUACCACAGCAC